This 292-nucleotide long non-coding RNA is filed under the name Brassica rapa (field mustard). RNAcentral describes it as "long non-coding RNA (BRAP_LNC006120)". The record is from RNAcentral. Lineage: Eukaryota; Viridiplantae; Streptophyta; Magnoliopsida; Brassicales; Brassicaceae.
UUGAGCCCUGCAAAUUUGAUGACCCUGUAGGUUGAGGAGCAUUAAAGUUAGGAUACGGAAUGGGUUGCGGCAGGGAACCGGGCAUAGGCAGCCCAUGAGGAGGCCGAAUCAAAGACUGUUGAUGCAACUGGGGAAGGCCAUUGGGAGGUGGGGUGUAGUAUCCUUGCCAAUACAUUGGUGGUUGAGGUGAGGCUCCCCAGGGAGCAAGAUUUCCACCAGGCUGAUACAAAGGCAUUGAGUUUUGGAAUCCCAUCCCAUGCUGCCCAGGUUGUCCAUUAUGAGAACUAAUGUC